This 63-nucleotide transfer RNA is filed under the name Krisna concava. Its description in RNAcentral is "tRNA-Thr". Lineage: Eukaryota; Metazoa; Arthropoda; Insecta; Hemiptera; Cicadellidae. The record is from RNAcentral.
GUUUUAAUAGUUUAAUAAAACAUAAAUUUUGUAAGUUUAAAUUGGAAAUAAAUCCUUAAAAUA